This is a non-coding RNA of Chiloscyllium plagiosum (whitespotted bambooshark), 197 nucleotides long. The record is from RefSeq and is a predicted model, not a curated record. Lineage: Eukaryota; Metazoa; Chordata; Chondrichthyes; Orectolobiformes; Hemiscylliidae.
UCCUUUCUUCCCCCUUUCCCAUUUCCUCUGUGGCACUGAAGUUGAAUCACAAUGGGAAAUGAAAGCAGUUCCACGGGUGAUCAGCCAAAGGCAUCUGAUUCGGACAUAAUAACCUCAUUACCAUCAAAUCAAGAGACUGCACAGAGUUCUCAUAUUUCUGAAGUUUAUGAAGUGCAUGCAACCCAGCAUGAAGAAAU